This 708-nucleotide ribosomal RNA is filed under the name Triticum aestivum (bread wheat). RNAcentral's name for it is "partial small subunit ribosomal RNA". The record is from RNAcentral. Lineage: Eukaryota; Viridiplantae; Streptophyta; Magnoliopsida; Poales; Poaceae.
CGACCAUCCGGCACUACCCCGGCGACCUGGGUGCCUAUAAGACCUACCUCGUCGCCUCCCUCGCGCCACCGAACCCUAAUCCCUUUUCCCUCGCGCCCCCUCUCCCUCUGCCACUCGCGCUCGACGCCGCUGCCGCCACCGCGUCGGCGGCGGCGGCGCGCACCGGUGCCUCGCCAAGUUUCACGUCGACGCCCGAGGACCAGAUCGAGCCGGGACGCCCUCGAAGCGUCACCACCAACUGUCUUCUCCGCCACGGUCGUCGCCGCCUCUCCGCUCGAUUCGCCGCCUACGAGCCUCCCCCGAGCCCGCUGCCCUCCCCUACAGAUUCGCCACCUCGAGACUGACGUUGCCGCCGAGGACGACUACGCUCUGACGAUCAGUACUUUUCAGCAGAGCUUCCAGAUGGUGGAUCCUUGGAGCCAGAUGCCCCGCCGAUGGAUGCUACUACGUGGAGACCGCCGACGACCAGGAGUAGUUAGGAGGUCCCAGACAGGAGGCCUUGCCUCUUCGAUCGUGUUGCUUUUGUGUUGGCCUUCUUAAGGCAUCCUUGUUUAACUUAUGUCUGUACUCAGAUAUUGUUGCUUCCGCUGACUCUUGUGUAUCGAGCUAUGUAUUCGUGCCCUCGAGGGCCUUGGCUUGUAAUAUAAAGCUUGUAUUAUUUUGAUUUGUAUCUAGAGUUGUGUUGUGAUAUCUUCCCGUGAGUCCCUG